CCAGAUUUCAAUGUUUGAGUAUGUAAGCGGUUAACUGAUUGUGUCAGUUUAUGCAGCCGAGUUGAUGGCCAUAAUUAUAGGUUUGAAAUGGGUGGAGGAGGUGAAACCACUCAGAGUGGUGAUCUGCUCUGAUUCGACUGCAGUGUUGAGUAGUGUGAAGACGAGCAGGUCGGAUAGUGGAGACUUGUUUGUGUAAAUGAUGGUGCUGUUAAUGGGAUGGGAGUGGUGAUAAGCUUUUGCUGGGUUCCCGCCAACGUGGGUGUGGAGGGUAAUUAGAAGGCUGAUGUGAUGACUAAGAGGGCAGUGAGGAGAGAGGGGGUAGAUAUUCAGUUCCCGUUGGGCCGUAGGGAAGUCAAGUCCUUGAUUCGGGCAAAAGGGCUCGAUCUUUGUCAAAGGAAGUGGUAUGCUAGUAGUAAGGGGAGGCAAUUUUAUCGCAUUCACCGGUCAGUUAAGGAAGAGGUGGGCAGUAUGGGAUGUAGGAGAGAGGAAGUUGUGUGGAGUGGACUGCGGUUUGGACACACCAGGUUUGAAUGCCACGUUGUGGAUGAUAAGGAGACAUGAAACAGGUCUGUGUGAUGAGUGUUAAGUGGAGGAAACUGUAGAGCAUGUGUUGAUAUUUUGUGAACUGUAUGACGUUGAUAGAGAGAGAUUGUGUGAAAGGGUUAGAAAGGCUGGACGGGGUUUGGGUGGUGUUGUGAGUCAAAUCAAACCAAAGUCAAAGUCAAAUCAAACCAAAGUUCAGUGUCACAUACGCCGAAUACAACAGUGAAAUGCUUACUUAAAGGCUCUAACCAAUAGUGCGAGAAAAAAAAGAAGAGUUGUGUGUGUGUAAGACACUAUAAGCUGCAUGACCCUGAGAGUGCUUCUCCCACCACCAGCGCAUCAAAUUCAUAUACUAAUGACGACAUGGUCCUGAAAGCUCAGGAGACUGCUGAGGGGAGGACAGCUCAUAAUAAUGGCUGCAAUGAAGUGAAUGGAAUGGUAUCAAACACUUUUUCGAUACCUUUCCAUUAAUUCCGUUCCAGCCAUUACUAUUACCAAAUAAGGUGCGACCAACCUCGUGACCCUGAAAGUAUUUCUCCCACCACCAGUUUCCCGUGUGCAGAUACGAAAGACGACCUGAUCUUGAGACUGAUUCUCCCACCACAAGUAACGAGUUGGAAAAAAGACUGCCUGCCCAAGCUUUGAUGAGGCCUGAAAGUCAUAUUGUACCGUUGCAACCAAUAUGGCUGAAUAUCUUCGCCAGGCGACCAAAAGGACAAGAGGAACCGAACCCUUUGCUCUGACUCUCGUGUGACAAUCACCCCUACUCCAUGGCAUUCACUAUCAUGAGCAGGCUCUGGAGCAGAGGACAUUAUGUUUAGCUGUUUUACAAGAAUUCAUAUGGAAAAUGGAUACCUGGUAGGGGUUUGGGGGAGUAAAGGGUAAAGUGUUUACUUUUCUUCACCCCCUUUCCUCAGCUUUAAUUGCUGGGGCUCCUGUGAUUUUUGAAAUGAUGGAUUGUGCUAAAGUUUUUAUUUGUGUGUUCCUUAUUUGUUUAUCCUUUGCAUGACUUCACUUUGGAGCUGAAAUGAAUCAUUCAAAAUACACAUUUUGUAUUUUAUCUACAAUUUGUCAUGAUUGGCCAUAUGUCAUUUUAAGAAUUUCAUCGACUGUGUCGAAAUGUUGUAACAUUGAUUGUUAUGGUUAGACAUAUUUUGUACAUUUAGAGAAUUAACAGGUUCUGUAAUAGAGAAGUAGAAAAAUAACCCAGCAAUAAAGUAAGAAAUAACCCACGGCUGGGUCAAAAAUACAAAAAUAAAAAUAACCCAGCAAAAGAGUAAAAAGCAACCGACUGCUGGGUCAAAGUAAUCGCAUUUUGUGGUAAAUCAAGAAACCCAACGUGUUGGGUCAUUCACGUAACCCAACAGUGCUGGGUCAUUCACGUAACCCAACAGUGCUGGGUCAUUCACGUAACCCAACAGUGCUGGGUCAUUCACGUAACCCAACAGUGCUGGGUCAUUCACGUAACCCAACAGUGCUGGGUCAUUCACGUAACCCAACAGUGCUGGGUCAUUCACGUAACCCAACGUGUUGGGUCAUUCACGUAACCCCAACAGUGCUGGGUUAAAAUAGUUUUUGUGUGUAGGGAAAAGGGAUGACUAUGACAUUGAACCUCUGUAGAUAAGAUAUACUGUAGGUGUAUGUUAUUCCCAACCUUAAAAGUUUGGGGGAUAUUAAUGUUUACAUAAGGAAGAUGACCUUGGAUUAAAACCUCUACAGGAUUGGUGGUUCCCCCACGGGACGGUCGAGCUAACGUAGGCUCAUGCGAUUAGCAUGAGGUUGUAAGUAACAAGAACAUUUCCCAGGACAUAGAAAUAUCUUACAUUGGCAGAAAACUUCAAUUCUUGUUAAUCUAACUGCACUGUCCAAUUUACAGUAGCUAUUACAGUGAAAGAAUACCAUGCAAUUGUUUGAGGAGAGUGGACAGUUAUGAACUUAAAGUUAUUAUUAAACCAAUUAGCCACAUUUGGGCAGUCUUGAU
Long non-coding RNA from Oncorhynchus tshawytscha (Chinook salmon), 2524 nucleotides. The record is from Ensembl. Lineage: Eukaryota; Metazoa; Chordata; Actinopteri; Salmoniformes; Salmonidae.